UCGAUCAUCAUAGGGCUACUCCUCUCAUCUACCGAGGUUGAUAGAUCCCAUCUUGGUGCGACCUAGUUCCUACAAUGAAUAUGCUACAGCCAACAUACACCUCAGGAUUCUGAAUGGCUAGGAGACCGAGUUAUGGUGUAGUCAAACUAUAACACACUCAAGAUGAACUAUCGAUGCACCUCAGGUCAAAGAACUAGACACACAACUGCAGCAU
Molecule: long non-coding RNA, 214 nt
Filed under: Elaeis guineensis (African oil palm)
Lineage: Eukaryota; Viridiplantae; Streptophyta; Magnoliopsida; Arecales; Arecaceae
Description: long non-coding RNA (EGUI_LNC068700)
Source: RNAcentral